This 404-nucleotide ribosomal RNA is filed under the name Ixodes acutitarsus. Its description in RNAcentral is "partial 16S ribosomal RNA". The record is from RNAcentral. Lineage: Eukaryota; Metazoa; Arthropoda; Arachnida; Ixodida; Ixodidae.
UAUUUUGACUAUACGAAGGUAUUGAAAUAAGGCUUUAAAUGAGUGCUAAGAGAAUGGUUAUACAAUUAUAAGCUUUCUUUUUUUUAAAAAUUUGAAUUUAAUAUUUUUGUGAAGAAGCAAUAAUGAAAAUUAGGGACAAGAAGACCCUAUGAAUUUUAAUUAAGUUAGUUUUAAAUAAAAGAAAUAAUUUAAUUUAAUUGGGGCGAUGGAAAAAGAAUUAGUAUCUUUUUAGAAAAAAAUUUGUUCCGAUAUUAUCGAUUUUAUGAAAAAAAUACUCUAGGGAUAACAGCGUAAUAAUUUUGGAUAGUUCUUAUAGAUAAAAUAGUUUGCGACCUCGAUGUUGGAUUAGGAUUCUUUUUUGGUGAAGAAAUUAAUGAAAGAAGUUUGUUCAACUUUUAAAAUCC